This is a long non-coding RNA of Dermochelys coriacea (leatherback sea turtle), 357 nucleotides long. RefSeq lists it as uncharacterized. The transcript is spliced from 4 exons. The record is from RefSeq and is a predicted model, not a curated record. NCBI's taxonomy places the organism in Eukaryota, Metazoa, Chordata, Testudines, Dermochelyidae.
GUCUUUCUCUAGAAGAAAGAGAGUUGGGUAGGGACAAGGAGGGGAAGAGAAAGCUCUGAGCCCUUAUCCUGGAUUAGCGGGUUUGAUAAGAGACUGAAAAGCAUGAAGUAGCCCACAAGAAGAAGAGGAAGCUCUGGGGCAAACCCAGAGCUGCCUGCUUGCCUUCUGUUUUCAUUAGGACUUCUCAGGGUGUCUGGAUUGGAUCCUGGAAGUAGAUGUUUGAUCUGGAGAGAGAGAGAGAGAGUUGGGACAACAAAUUUCAAGCUAUUAAGUGCCAACCCCCAGCAUUCCCUCUGAUGAAGGAAGGAAGAAAAUAAGAAAAAUGGGGGAAACCCACAUAUUUACAACAGAUUUAAC